Molecule: long non-coding RNA, 6230 nt
Organism: Ictalurus furcatus (blue catfish)
Lineage: Eukaryota; Metazoa; Chordata; Actinopteri; Siluriformes; Ictaluridae
Exons: 3
Source: RefSeq, a predicted model, not a curated record
ACACACAUACACGCACACACACACACACAGACACACACACAAAACCUCUACUGGACAGCAGGUAGCAAAUACAAUGGAGCACCUGAUGAGGAACUGGACAGCUACUGACAGCCAAUCAUAUGGUGCCAUGUUAGGGGGCGUGGCUUCCGCAGGACCAUGACAAAGCCGCACUCACAUGUCAAUAUGGCCUGAGGAGUUCUGGGAAAAGAACGAUUUCUUCCAGCAGGUUUUCAGGUGCACAGGUUCUGGCAGUCGCUGACAGACGAGGAGUUCAGAUAAGAAUCUCUUUUUAAAGAAAAAGAUAGAAUGUACUGUAACGUGGAGCGGCUCGCAUAACCAUUUAACACCAAUGCAGACAAUCAGCCUUUUCUACCACACCAAAACCAGAUUCUGUUUCAGUCCAUUUUCGCCUCACUCUUUAUGUAGGUCAUCUCUUGUGUGGAACAGGAUUAUACUUUCUCCAGCGGAGGACGAACAGGAUCAUGAUCUGGCAAAUAAUACAGCAACAAACAAAAGAGAGAGAGAGAGAGAGAGAGGGAGAGUAUGUAAAUCUGCCAUCGCUACACGGCUCGGGCCGUGCUCCAAACAAACUGCCGUUCCACGUUCCUUCUGGACCCCUGUAAACAGUUUUCCAGUAUUUUUUUUUUCAUUUGUUGUGGGAUUUUCAUCUUUGUGUUUUUUUUUGUGUGUGUGUGUGUGUGUGUGUGUGUGUGUGUGUGUAAGUGCCUUAAGGGUUGGAAAACUGUUUGUGUGUACAAUUUAUUUUUUCUUUACUUCCCACAGAGCUGUCUUUAAAGGCACGGAGAUGAAAGAUACACAAGUUUCCCAUUACCACGAAUGCAGUCGAUCAGCCAAGACAUGUUUGUUGCCUGAAGUUUACUUCUUUAGUUCUCGCACUGUAGCUACGAGGUGAAUGCUAGUUUAGCAUCAGCGACUCAAGCGGACGUGUUUGUGUGGUUUUUGGCGCUAUGAUAAAUGCUUAUCUGUAAAAAGAAAAGAAAAAAAAAAGAACACCACACAGCUGAAAACAAUCUACAGAAGUUUACAUUAGUCAGUGUGGAACUAAAAAAACAUGGGUCUUUGGUUAGCGGUUGAUGCUGAGGGACGUUACACUGUCAUUUUUAACUUUUCCAAGUAAUUUAUCAACACAUCUGAGGCAUAAAUGUUGUUAUUCCCAACAUUUGUGUCUCAUUUCCACUGCCAUUACACCUUUACAUUACCUGUAUAAAAGACUAUUAAUGGCUAUAUGCUAGCUAGAUAAAUGAUUCGUCUAGCUUCGUGCUCGUAUUUUCCGAGUUGCCUAGCAACACUGUUCUCACAACUUGAACACAGAACAUAUCAUGUGUUCUGCUGAAUUUCUAAAUGUACAGAUUAGAGAUUAGCUUUCACAAUGCUAAAUUGGCAGAACGUUUCGUCUUUUCAUAACAGCUAAGCUCAAAUCUACCACAGUUCACAAGUGGUGACACAUCCUAUUGGACUUCAGAACCCACGAAUAUUUGGCUAGCGGUUGAUGCUAAGUGACCUUACACUGCAAUUUUACUUAUACGUGGUCUUUUCUUAGUAAUUUAUCAACAUAUCUGAGGUAAAUGUUGAUAUUCCGGACAUUUGUGUCUCAUUUUUCACUCUCAUUACACCUUUAAAAUGAUUUAUUGGCUUAUAUGCUAGCUAAUUUAGAUAAAUGAUUAGCCUCAGUCACUAGCUAGCUUCUAUGCUUGGUGUGCAUGUUUCCCAGUUGCCGAGCAACAUUGUCUCACAAAUUGAACCACUUAAACAGUGAACAUAUUAUAUGCUUGAUGUUUUUUGACAGCUCCGAGUUCACAAGUUGCGACACAACGUUUACAGUUCUCUUUGUGGAGCUUCAAAAUUAGUGGUUGAUGCUAAUUAGUGUAAUAUUAGUAAUAUUGAGUCUUUUCUUGGUAAUUUACCAAAACAUCUGAGCUCCAGUGCAGAACUUAAGACAGUAAAACACGUCUUGGCUAAUCGACUACAUCUGGGAUAAACAGGGACAUUGUGUAAGUUUCAUUUUCGACCAAAUGUUUUCAGCUUUGUCACUUCACUGAGACACCGCUAAGAGCUUGCGUGUGGGAGCGAUGAAAAGCGCCGCAUUCUUCCAAAACAAUUCGCUCUUUCUCCUCCUCCUCCUCCUCCUCCUUCUUCUCUUCCACGGGCUCUCCGACGUUACAGCGAUUCUCGCAUUCUUCAGCUCUAUUAGAAUCAGUGCUGUUGUUCUUGUGUUAACUACAGUGCUGCCACCCGGAGUGUCAGGGUCACGACACAAAAUUCUGUCUAGUCAUGUUGAGUAUUCUGAAUAUGAGCAACAGGGUGAAAGACAGACAGCAAAACAUAUCAUGACUACAUCCAAAACGGCAUACUACUGUACUAAAUAAUGUCGCAAAAUGUGGUUUCUGCUAUUGUGAGUUGAGGGUACUGACCUUUUUUAUGCAAUGACAUUGUGCUGAAUGCCAUUUCGAUUAUUUAUUUUCCUGUAAACCGAACAGUUUGGAUAGCUUAAACCCAGCAGAACACCAAAAAUAGUAACAUCGAUAACACGAAUUCGAUUAUUUGCGUUAUGAAGUAACUUCCGCCAACAAUAAAAUAGUACAGCAAUUUUAUAGCAAUUUCUAAACAUUCUGAACUUAAGCUUGACGUCAUAACAAUAAAACGUAUUCUGAUUAAACUACAAAUACAAGUGAACACUAUAGAAAUUUAAAGUCUGGGACUUUACCCAACCUCGUCAUUUUGGUAAUCUUAUGAAAUUCGCGUUGGUUUCAGUUUGCAUGCUAAUAACGUUAGCAUUGACCAACCUGACAUGUCAUGAGUCGUAAGAUAAGGUACGGACGCUAACCCCGCCCCUAAACCUGACAUAAGUCGCCUGAAUUGUUACAAAUCGGCAAGUUGCUUUUGUUUCAUUGUUAUUCAUUAUUCUGUAUCACUUCCGCUGCCCAUUUUGGGCAACCCUGCUAGCAACCUAGCAAAGCCACGACGUAGCUUUCCCGUUUGUUGGAAAUGGCUACGUCCAAAAACACAUCAUGCGUGUGAAAAUAUUCCAGAAAGCUAUCAAUAGUUCAAUGCACUUAAAUGUACUUAAACAUAGUACUUUAUAUAGUACUGAGGCUGAAUUUGGCCUACCGUGCAUACUUAAAACCAAACCUCAUAAAGAACAUAAAGCCCUUACGGAUAUAUUCAUACGAAUUUUAACUAAUCGACCAAGAAUUCAAACAGUAGCAAACUAAUUCGACUUUACCUUGGCAAUUAGCAGUAGAAAAAGAUUCAGGUUGUUUUAUUAUUGCAGUUAAACCCUGAUCAACAGCAGCAAAGAAUGUGUUACAUCGCACUUUAGUUAACAGCCACACACAGGCUGCAGAUUACAUUACAUCUUUAAUAACCUAACCCUAACCUUAACACUAAACCUAGGCUAUGCCGUUAAAGACGAACAUAUGUAGGAUAUUACACUGUUUUAAAACUAAUAGACACUUAAACAUGGAACUGAACUAUAAAAGUGAUAUGAUAUGAACGUCAUAACAUUCCAUUAAACCAAAAAUAAAUAAACAAAUAGACUUUUCCCAGCGUUGUCCCACUAUAUUCCACUAUAAUUCAGCCACCAUUUUAGACAGAUGAGAGACACUGUGCGUUUAAUUUCUUUCUUUCUUUUUUUUUUUUUUUUUGCUUGAAUUGUUUCUCAAUGCACCACUUUGUGUGUACUGAAAAAUUCUCAACACGCUUACAGCGAUACCUCUCUGAAAACGCCCGAUCCCGUCUGAUCUCGGGUCGGGUUACUACUUGGACUGGGGAACGCUCGGUUCGGUAUGUGUGUGAACGUUCUGUUUAUUUCUACCAACGUUGCAUUUUUGGUUAUGUUUGAUAUUAAUUUGUCAGGAACUGUCUUCCAACUGAAACUGUACUGUAAUUUCUUUGUCAUUUUUCUAAGAGAACUAAGUGUGUGCUGAUAUUACACAUCCCACCCGUGCUCAUUAGGGAAGGUUAUGCGUUUUACGUCGUAGAGGUUGCGUAACGUUUUGCGGAACUCUGUGAGAAACUCGUGUUCGGUUAAUACGCAACGUGUGUACUAGAAACGCUGAGGAAUCAAGUGUGGAACGAUGGACAUUUUUAGCGUUAAAAAAAUAAUUUUGGGUUGUAAAACAGGUCGUUCCUGAGGGGAGGAGGUACCACGUGCCGAUCUGUUAUUUCCGUUUAGCUAAUCUUUUAGCGUUUGAUUUUAGCCGUUAGUGCCAUGCGAGUAUCCAGAUAUGAAGUGUACAGUGUUAUAUAGGGCAAAAUUCGAGAAUAAAUUUCUAUUUGGCAAAAAAAAAAAAGAAGAAUUAAGAUAAUAAACACUGUAUGAGUUGCUCAUAUUCACAAGGGGGAGCUUUUGAAGCAGUUCUGAUGUCUGAAAUAUCCAAAGUUUUGACUUGUUCCUUAUCUAUAUUCUUUCAUAAUGUUGGUGGUGAUCUCAGGGGUCGCUGCUAGGUACGUUUUUAUUCUUCUGAUUAGGCUUACCAUUGUUUCGCUGUUGGUCAAAUUGUACACGUUUUCACACUAUUUAAAUAUUAAUAAGACCCCAAAAGCUACUUAGCAUUAGGUUAGUUAAGUAGCUAACAUUAGCUGUGCACUUGAAAAGAAAGACUUCGUGAUGAGCGUCGGUGAUUUGAGUGCACGCUUUAAAUUUGUCCGAAAUUUACGACAGACUUGAUCUCAGGUUACCCCCCAAAAAAUCGAAUCAUUCCUCAUCAAUUAUCAGCACGUACCUAGAACACUCAUCCACUUCCAGGAUGAAACACUUAACACGACGACGUUUCGAUUUGCGCAGCACUUAUUUGACGUGUCACUUUUUCAGCACUCAGACUCUGUGGGAUAUUUUUUUGCUUUCUUCCUGUGGGAUUUACUCCAUCUGUGACUGAUCGAGAUGUUAGUUGCGGUUUUUGACCUCAAACUGUACAUUUACAUUCUUUUCAGCUUUGUUUGUUCCAGUUUUUCUAAAGAUAAGCCCCCGUCAUAUGACCGUUCCAUUUGAAACGUCCUGAGGAAACAGAAUGCGAAAUAGCCCAGACCAUAAUAGUGAAUGGCGAGAUGAAAAAGGGCCUUGUGUGCGACCUCAGCCUUCCAGUAAAGACCCGCUCUUCCUGCUCAGAUCUCCCAGACGAGCGAACGCCGCAGUCCCGCCUGUCAUAAUUACCGCAUGAAUAAAUCCGAGUCAUGGAGAAACUCAUGCAUACAAAAACUCGGUGGGGGAGAGAGAGCGAGAGAGGAACACACACUAACAACCUCAACCCUAAAACCAGAAAUGACAGCUCCAAUUCAUCAAGGUCACAUUAACGCCGGACGAUAGCGUCCUGCACCAUCCUGCCUCCACACCGCUUCAUCACAACACAACACUCCCACGCAGCAGAUCCGGAACUUUCAGGGACGUUGGGGGAGGGGGGGGGGUGUCAUUGUCGUUCAAUUGUAAAUAGUGAGAUUUUAAUUUAUACAGUAAGUUAUUUUGGACUUUAAAAUUGGACAUAAUCUAUCUUUUGUAUAAGUGAAGUACGUUUCUAGUUUUUAUUUAACGUGUUCUGACUGCCAAAUAAAUAUGCAUGUUUCUUAUAAGUGCCUGUCAUCUCUGGUUUGUCCUCUGUGUCCAGAAUUUAUUUACCAAAAUGGAGAGAGAGAGAGAGAGAGAGAGAUUUAAAAUGCAAGGUACAGCGUGUCCUUCCGGAGAGAGUUUUAUCGUUCGGAUGCCUCGUAUGAGACUGAUGCAUGCAAGGCCACGCCUCUUUUACUAGGCAUCAGUCCAAAAGACCACACCUCAGUCAGUGGCACUGACAGGCACAGAGGCCACGCCUCCUUCACUAGGUUCAGAGGACAUACCUCUCUAAAUUAUGACUGUAGGUACAGCGGACAUGCGUCCUUCACUAGGACUGACAGGUACAGAGGACACACCUCCUUCACUACGACUGACAGGUACAGAGGACACGCCUCCUUCACUAAGACUGGCAGGUACAGAGGACACACCUCCUUCAAUCGGACGGACAGAUACAGAGGACACACCUCCUUCACUAGGACGGACACAUACAGAGGACACGCCUCCUUCACUAGGACGGACAGAUACAGAGGACACACCUUCACUAAGACUGACAGGUACAGAGGACAAACCUCCUUCAAUAGGACAGACAGAUACAGAGGACACACCUCCUUCACUAAGACUGACAGAUACAGAGGACACACCUCCUUCACUAGGACAGACAGAUACA